GAUGAACGCUGGCGGCGUGCCUAAUACAUGCAAGUCGAGCGAACGGACGAGAAGCUUGCUUCUCUGAUGUUAGCGGCGGACGGGUGAGUAACACGUGGAUAACCUACCUAUAAGACUGGGAUAACUUCGGGAAGCCGGAGCUAAUACCGGAUGAUAUUUUGAACCGCAUGGUUCAAAAGUGAAAGACGGUCUUGCUGUCACUUAUAGAUGGAUCCGCGCUGCAUUAGCUAGUUGGUAAGGUAACGGCUUACCAAGACAACGAUGCAUAGCCGACCUGAGAGGGUGAUCGGCCACACUGGAACUGAGACACGGUCCAGACUCCUACGGGAGGCAGCAGUAGGGAAUCUUCCGCAAUGGGCGAAAGCCUGACGGAGCAACGCCGCGUGAGUGAUGAAGGUCUUCGGAUCGUAAAACUCUGUUAUUAGGGAAGAACAUAUGUGUAAGUAACUGUGCACAUCUUGACGGUACCUAAUCAGAAAGCCACGGCUAACUACGUG
This 497-nucleotide ribosomal RNA is filed under the name uncultured bacterium. Its description in RNAcentral is "partial 16S ribosomal RNA". It matches the Rfam family "Bacterial small subunit ribosomal RNA", at positions 28 to 507 of the family's 1533-position model. The record is from RNAcentral.